This 253-nucleotide ribosomal RNA is filed under the name uncultured bacterium. RNAcentral's name for it is "partial 16S ribosomal RNA". It matches the Rfam family "Bacterial small subunit ribosomal RNA", at positions 524 to 776 of the family's 1533-position model. The record is from RNAcentral.
UACGUAGGUGGCAAGCGUUGUCCGGAUUUAUUGGGUUUAAAGGGUGCGUAGGCGGUCUUUUAAGUCAGUGCUGAAAUAUCCCGGCUUAACCGGGAGGGUGGCAUUGAUACUGAAGGACUUGAGUAAAGUUGAGGUAGGCGGAAUUGACGGUGUAGCGGUGAAAUGCUUAGAUAUCGUCAAGAACACCGAUAGUGUAGACAGCUUACUAAGCUUUAACUGACGCUGAGGCACGAAAGUGUGGGGAUCAAACAGG